Molecule: long non-coding RNA, 1063 nt
Organism: Gymnodraco acuticeps
Lineage: Eukaryota; Metazoa; Chordata; Actinopteri; Perciformes; Bathydraconidae
Exons: 2
Source: RefSeq, a predicted model, not a curated record
CACACGGACAUGUUAAUGGUUUACUAUAUAUGUUGUGUGCCCUCCUUACUUUUCUCUCUUCUUCCCGGACUGCAACCGGACAACAUGACCUUUGCUGCUCCCAAAUAAAAUGAUGCCGUUGUGACUAGCGAGGAGGAACAGUCCCAAACAACGACUGAUGUCAGUGCACCGUCCCCAACACAAAGUCAAGCACAGACACCAACUCGAGCACAAGCAACGCCGAGCGCCAGCCCGACACCGCAGCGUGUGGUUAUACACUGUAAAAUUACAGUAAAUUACUGGCUACUAGUUGCAUGGAUUUCACAGUAAUUUACUGUAGAUAUUUUUACAGUAAAUUAGAAUAAAAGUACAACUAAGUACUGUGACUUUACAGUUGCCAUGCCCAUGGAAUUACUUUGAUAAAGCAAUACAAAAGGCUGGCUAAUGUUUGGAGUUAGUGACAAUGUAUUCUAGAUAGCUAUCUUAACGAUUUAUUAAAUAAUAUUGCACACAAGUAACUUUGACACAUUCACUGCACAUCUUCAGCCAAGUUCAGCAACAAAUGUGCGCAGUUUACAGCAUUCACACGCAUUUUCAGCAGGAUAUACAUUUUCUAGUUUCUACAGGGUUACAGGAGUAUCAAGGAAAGUCUUAAUAAUUUACAUUUUGUUUAGUGGAAAUAUAAUAUGUUCCCUCCUUUAAUAUCCUUUUGAUCCAUCUCAUCAAAAUCGUUCGGGAACCAUUUCUUCAAGCAACACAUAUCUGUUUCCCUUGUGGCUGUAUCAAAAACGACUUGAUUCUUCUCACUAGAUUUAAAGAUGAAGGCUGUUUUAUUUCUAUAUGAUUGCAUUAUAUUGCUUUUGCAUCUUUGACUCAAAACUGCCAUUUUGGACGAAUUAAAUACAGUAUCUCAUCUCUGCUCCCAUUUAGUUUAAUUCUGAUUUUGCAGUGAGAAAUAUAUAUUUAUAUCUACUCUUGUGAAUUCAUCUGAAGCUGCAAACAGAAUUUAAUGAACUGACUCUGAUUUCACAGGUCCUAUUUUACAGUGCCAUGAACACACAUUAAACUCAUGCCAACUAUUUAA